UGACGACGACACGCUAAGGCGUUGAAGCAGUGUACGUCAGACUUCCAAGAAAAGCUCGCAAUGUCAUAAAUAAGAAAUGCCUGUACCAUAACCGACACAGGUGGGUAGGUAGAGUAUACUAAGGGGCGCGAGAUAACUCUCUCUAAGGAACUCGGCAAAAUGACUCCGUAACUUCGGGAGAAGGAGUGCCUUAUUUAUAAGGUUGCAAUAACAAGAUCCAAGCAACUGUUUAUCAAAAACACAGGUCUCCGCUAAGUCGUAAGACGAUGUAUGGGGGCUGACGCCUGCCCAGUGCCAGAAGGUUAAAGAAGUUGGUUAGUGUAUGCGAAGCUGAUGACUGAAGCCCUGGUGAACGGCGGCCGUAACAAUAACGGUCCUAAGGUAGCGAAAUUCCUUGUCGGGUAAGUUCCGACCCGCACGAAAGGCGUAAUGAUUUGGAUACUGUCUCGGAGAGAGGCUCGGUGAAAUAGACUUGUCUGUGAAGAUGCGGACUACCUGCACCAGGACAGAAAGACCCUAUGAAGCUUUACUGUAACUUGAAAUUGGAAUUGGACUUUGCUUGCGCAGUAUAGGUGGGAAGCGUUGAAGAUAUUCUUGCGGGAGUAUUGGAGCUAUCAGUGAGAUACCACUCUUGUAAUGUUAGAUUUCUAACUUUGAACCAUAAUCUGGUCAAAGAACAGUUUCAGGUGGGCAGUUUGACUGGGGCGGUCGCCUCCCAAAUGGUAACGGAGGCGUACAAAGGUUUCCUCUGAACGGAUAGAAAUCGUAUCUAGAGUGUAAAGGCAUAAGGAAGCUUGACUGUGAGACCUACAAGUCGAGCAGGGACGAAAGUCGGUCUUAGUGAUCUGACGGUACUGAGUGGAAAGGCCGUCACUCAACGGAUAAAAGUUACUCUAGGGAUAACAGGCUGAUCUCCCCCAAGAGUUCACAUCGACGGGGAGGUUUGGCACCUCGAUGUCGGCUCAUCGCAUCCUGGGGCGGUAGUACGUCCCAAGGGUUGGGCUGUUCGCCCAUGAAAGCGGUACGCGAGCUGGGUUCAGAACGUCGUGAGACAGUUCGGUCCAUAUCCGGUGUAGGCGUUAGAAUAUUGAGAGGAGCCUUCUUUAGUACGAGAGGACCGAGAAGGACACACCGCUGGUGUACCAGUUAUCGUGCCAACGGUAAACGCUGGGUAGCUAUGUGUGGAGUGGAUAACCGCUGAAAGCAUCUAAGUGGGAAGCCCACCUCAAGAUGAGUAUUCUCA
Molecule: ribosomal RNA, 1243 nt
Filed under: metagenome
Description: bacterial LSU rRNA
Rfam family: Bacterial large subunit ribosomal RNA
Source: RNAcentral